RNAcentral lists this transfer RNA (81 nucleotides) under Streptomyces microflavus DSM 40593. RNAcentral describes it as "Streptomyces fulvissimus DSM 40593 tRNA-Arg". It matches the Rfam family "tRNA". From Rfam's summary of the family: Transfer RNA (tRNA) molecules are approximately 80 nucleotides in length. Their secondary structure includes four short double-helical elements and three loops (D, anti-codon, and T loops). The record is from RNAcentral. Lineage: Bacteria; Bacillati; Actinomycetota; Actinomycetes; Kitasatosporales; Streptomycetaceae.
GCCCCCGUAGCUCAGUGGAUAGAGCAGGCGCCUUCUAAGCGCUUGGCCGCAGGUUCGAGUCCUGCCGGGGGCGCACCACCC